This 2518-nucleotide small RNA is filed under the name Pongo abelii (Sumatran orangutan). RNAcentral's name for it is "retained intron". The record is from RNAcentral. Lineage: Eukaryota; Metazoa; Chordata; Mammalia; Primates; Hominidae.
CCGGAGUGCAGUGGCACCAUCUCAGCUCACUACAGCCUCGGCCUUCCAGGUUCAAGCAAUUCUCCAGCCUGAGUCUCCCGAGUAGCUCGGAUUAUAGGCAUAUGCCACCACGCCUAGCUAAUUUUUGUAUUUUUAGUAGAAACGGGGUUUCGCCAUGUUGGCCAGGCUGGUCUUGAACUCCUGGCCUCAGGUGAUCCCACUGGCCUUGGUCUCCCAAAGUGCUGGGACUACAGGCAUGAGCCACAGCGCCCGGCUGUAAUCCAGUUUUUUUGUUUUUUGUUUUUUGGUUUUUUUUUGAGACGGAGUCUCACUUUGUUGCCCAGGCUGGAGUGCAGUGGCACAAUCUCGGCUCACUGCAACCUCUGCCUCCCAAGUUCAAGCAAUUCUCCUGCCUCAGCUUCCCGAGUUGCUGGGAUUACAGGCGCAUGCCACCACACCCAGCUAAUUUUUUGUAUUUUUAGUAGAGACGGGGUUUCACCAUGUUAGCCAGGAUGGUCUCGAAAUCCUUACCUCGUGAUCCAUCCGCCUCAGCCUCCCAAAGUGCUGGGACUACAGGCGUGAGCCACGGUACCCAGCCCUAGUUUUAUAUUCUAAUUUUUGCUUUCAGUUUGUCUCUGGUACUAAAAAUAUUAGAAUGAACACCCUUAUACAUAGCAACCUUUGCUUACAUAUAUAACUAUUUCCCAAGGUUAAAUCCUAUAAAUUGUAUUGUAAGUCACAGGAUAUGAAUGUUUUUCAGGCUUGUGAUGCUUAUUAACAAUUAUCCCUCCCAGAAAACUUGUACCAUUUUAAUUCCCUUAACAGUAAUUUAGGAAAUGAUACAUUUCACCACAUUUGGAACAACAGUAAAUACCAGCUUUUAAAAUUUAUGCCAGUCUGAUAAGUAAAGCAUUUUAUCUCUAUUUUAAGUUGCAUUUAACUUUAUUUCAUUUAUUUACUAUUUGAUUUUUUGUGUGUGUGAAUUGCCUGUUCAUUACCUUUGCCUAAAUUCGUUUACUUUUCUCAUUUAUUUGUAAGAGCUAUUUAUACAUUAGGGCAUUAGUUCUCUUGUCAUAUAUGUUAAAAUUGCAAUUUUCCUAGUGUACCAUUUGCCUUGUAAUUUUGCUUAGUAGAGUUUCUGGCAGAAUUUUUUAAAUAAAAGUUUGAAUAUAAAUGUAGUCAAAUCUUUCUCUUGUGUUUGUUGUUCAUUCUACCCCACUUAUCUUUAGAAAAUCUUCCCCAUUUAAAGAUCAAAAUAACCAACUAUAUUUUACUGUAAUUUUACACUUUGUUAAACAUUAAAUAGAGUGUAGGUUUUAAGUUUCUUCCUUAUGAUUAUGAAAAUUUUCUAAUCAACAUUAGAUAUUUUCUUGUUUAGCACCUCUAGCUUUACUAUCAAAAUUACUGGCAUUUAUUUUAAAGAUUCCGAUUGAUUCCUCACUUCAGGUUUUACAGACAUUUCACCAGAGGAAUUGAGGCUUGAAUACCAUAACUUCUUAACCAGCAAUAACUUACAGAGUUAUCUAAAUUCUGUCCAACGUUUAAUAAAUCAAUGGAGGAACAGGGUAAAUGAACUGAAAAGCCUCAAUAUAUCAACUAAAGUAGCUUUGCUCUCUGAUGUAAAGGAUGGAGUAAAUCAAGCAGCACCUGCAUUUGGAUUUGGCAGUAGUCAAGCAGCAACAUUUGUGUCGCCAGGCUUUCCAGUCAAUAACAGCAGCAGUGAUAAUGCUCAGAACUUUAGUUUUAAAACAAACUCUGGAUUUGCCACUGCCUCUUCUGGAAGCCCUGCUGGUUUUCGGAGUUCCCCAGCAUUUGGAGCUGCAGCCUCUACCAGUUCAGCUAUCUCUACUUCUGCUCCAGCUUUUGGAUUUGGGAAACCUGAAGUCACCUCGGCUGCAUCAUUUUCAUUCAAAAGCCCUGCAGCUUCCAGUUUUGGAUCACCUGGAUUUUCAGGACUUCCAGCUUCCUUGGCAACAGGUCCUGUCAGAGCUCCAGUGGCCCCAGCCUUUGGAGGUGGCAGUUCUGUGGCUGGUUUUGGUAGUCUGGGCUCACAUUCUCACGCUGCUUUUUCUAAGCCAUCCAGUGACACUUUUGGAAAUAGCAGCAUAUCCACUUCUCUCUCAGCCUCAAGCAGCAUCAUUGCAACAGAUAAUGUGUUAUUCACACCCAGAGAUAAACUAACAGUAGAAGAACUCGAACAAUUUCAAUCCAAGAAAUUUACUCUGGGAAAAAUUCCAUUAAAGCCUCCACCUCUGGAACUUCUAAAUAUUUAAAAGGGCAAUUUUAAAUCCAAAAAAUAAUGAUGUUUAAAAUUGUUUUGAGUGAUUCAUAUAGAGAUGUAUAUAUGCAUACAUGUAUAUAUUCAUAAGGAAUAUAAGCUUCCAUUAAUAGUGAUUUUAAAUUUUAUUUUUUUCUUAAGUCUAAAUAUUUAAGUAAAAAGUAACAAAAACUCAGCAAGCAAGGGAAGUUUUUUGUACAGUAAUUUUGGAUGGAACUGAAAAAUUGUGCACGAAUAAAGUACUUUUCUCAUGCCAUACCA